UGAGGAAUAUUGGACAAUGGGGGAAACCCUGAUCCAGCCAUGCCGCGUGAGUGAUGAAGGCCUUAGGGUUGUAAAACUCUUUCGCUAGGGAAGAUAAUGACGGUACCUAGUAAAGAAGCCCCGGCUAAUUUCGUGCCAGCAGCCGCGGUAAUACGAAAGGGGCUAGCGUUGUUCGGAAUUACUGGGCGUAAAGCGCGCGUAGGCGGACCAUCAAGUUGGGGGUGAAAUCCCAGGGCUCAACCCUGGAACUGCCUCCAAAACUGUUGGUCUAGAGGAUGUGAGAGGAUAGUGGAAUUCCGAGUGUAGAGGUGAAAUUCGUAGAUAUUCGGAAGAACACCAGUGGCGAAGGCGACUGUCUGGCACAUUUCUGACGCUGAGGUGCGAAAGCGUGGGGAGCAAACAGGAUUAGAUACCCCCGUAGUCC
Molecule: ribosomal RNA, 424 nt
Filed under: uncultured prokaryote
Description: bacterial SSU rRNA
Rfam family: Bacterial small subunit ribosomal RNA
Source: RNAcentral